CCUACGGGAGGCAGCAGUAGGGAAUAUUGCUCAAUGGGCGCAACCCUGACGCAGCAACGCCGCGUGGAGGAAGAAGGUUUUCGGAUUGUAAACUCCUUUUGAUAGAGAAGAUCAUAACGGUAUACCCCUUAUAAGCACCAGCUCACUCCGUGCGCGCAGCCGCGGUAAUACGGAGGGGUCACGCGUUUCUCGGAGACACUGGGCGUAAAGAGCGCGUAGGCGGGGAAGCAAGUCAGAUGUGAAAUCCUCGGGCUUAACCCUAGAACUGCAUUUGAGACUGUUAUUCUUGAGUGUGGGAGAGGUAAGUGGAAUUCUUGGUGUAGGGGUAAAAUGCGUAGAGAUAAGGAAGAACACUAGUGGCGAAGGCGGACUACUGGAACAUAACUGACGGUGAUGCGCGAAAGCGUGGGGAGCAAACAGGAUUAGAUACCCGGGUAGUC
This 440-nucleotide ribosomal RNA is filed under the name uncultured bacterium. RNAcentral describes it as "partial 16S ribosomal RNA". It matches the Rfam family "Bacterial small subunit ribosomal RNA", at positions 338 to 795 of the family's 1533-position model. The record is from RNAcentral.